AUGAUUGCACAGCCAUUAAGGAUCAAAUCAGUUUCUGAAAAAUGUUCUGUUUUUUCUCCCUCUGCUUGCUUCUUACUGUCUUUGAGGCUCGGGACCAGCACUCCUGCUGUUGGACAGAAAGACAUCAACUUGAGAUAUGACUGCACUAUGGUGUUGCUGAUCACUCCAGUUAAUUCUACAAGACAUGCUGUGACACCAGGAGAGAUGAGUCCUCCGUCACAGAUGGUGUGGUCAGUGAAGAUGGUCGCCUGCAGGUUCAAGCUCAUUGCAUCUCCAACCCACAUCCACUGCCACUGUACUUAAGGGAAGUUAAAGACUUUCUUCUGCACCUACAUUUGGAUCACCUCGAUCCAUGACAGUCAUUCAGGCAGUGAUGCCUGGACUGGAAACAAGCAUCCUUAAAAUAUUACAACAUUCCAGCUCCUGUGUUGGAAUGGAAAACAAAUGUGUUGUUUAAAUUAGAGACUGCACUUGUGACAGAACAAUAAAUAUUUUAUUUUGAUUAUAUAAGUAAGUACAAAACAAACUUGUGGUAGGCCUAAACUUAUUUUCAGAAUAAUUACAUCUGAGACUUUGUUUCAUUGUAAGAUUAUAACAGUGAUGGCAAUAUAAUUGUUUGUUGUUCAGCAGAACAGUGUCCAGUAUGUUGGCUGUUAUACUUUGUUGUGUUUGAAAAUAAAAGUUGGGCUCAUUUUAACAUCAUUACAAAAAGUGUUGUUAAUUAUUUUUAAUCAUAUUCAGGUUACCACAAAUUGUUUUUUCAUUUAGUUGAACUUAACAUGUUUGUCAGUAGGUAAACAAUUAGUAUUGUACAGUCAGAGUUAUCAAGUUAUUGUUAAUACUGCAGACUUGCAAUGUAUAAGUUGUCCUAACAGUCGUCUUAAGUAAGCUUUACUUAGUUUUUUUGAGGCAACGAGUUUCCAUAAUUUUUUUGAGUUCUGGGAACUAACAAGGCUGUACAGUGUACUCAAAAUGAGUAAGUUGCCCUAACUUGGUCAUCUUACGUAAACUUGAUCCAAUUUUUUUGAGUUCUGGGAACAAAUGAGCUUGUACAGAGUACUCAAAAUAAAUAAGUUGUCCUAACUUAGUCAUUUUUAGCUAAGCUUUACUCAAUUUUUUUGAGGCAACGAGUUUCCAUAAUUUUUUUGAGUUCUGGGAACUAAUUAGAUUUUACAGUGUUGGAAAACAAAAUGAACACCUGAAAAAAUGCUGAACAUGCUAAGGGUCCCUCAAAUGUAAUUGUUAAAUGAAAAAGAAAUCGGCAAAAAAAAGUACAACAGUCACACAAUCACAAAUAUGGAGACAUAUGGAAACACACAAGCACAGAGAGACACACACAGGAUCAAAUUCAGUCAACCAGUCUAAAUAUAUUGAAUUUAAAUCAUACAAUAAGAUGCUCCCAUAAAAACUCUCUCUCGUCCUCCCUUUCUCUCUCUCUCUGUCACACACACACACACACACACACACACACACACACACACACACACAGGGAGAGACAAGCAAGUUUCUAGGUCAGCCAAACAGCCUGGGAGCUGCUGAAUUUGAAUCCACCAAUCAGAGAGGCUGUGUACUUUUUCCCGCCAAAACAGGUGCACCUGUUUUUACACACAUGCAGCACAGAGACAGGAUUUGUGCUGUCUAUUUUUCAUAGUGAGGAUUCCCCUCAAACAAAUGGCUAUAAUUUCCUAACCGUAGGGGCUAGAACAGUCAUUCUUACACCGUUUUGUUCAGAAGAGAUGGGGGAAUCUUAAGGUGUUGACAGUUUAUCUUGAAAAUAUGAAUUAUUGAAGAUAUUUGACUUCUAAUGCACCAUAACUGAGUAGAGGCAAAGCGAAAACUGUCUUGACUUGCCCUCAAAUAAUGCUUUCUAACUCUAAAUCUAUUUGGAGUAUCGAUAUCAUUCUUUCACCGUAAGAGACAGCAGGCUUUGGUGAACAGUCAUGGAAAUUUUCAGGUCUGUGUGGAAAUCCAUCAAAAAGAUAUGACGAGAGAAAAAAGUGGUUCAUUUCCAGAGUUUGAAAGCUGAAGAAAUCUGAGCGAGGGACGAAUUUCCUACCCUCAAACAAACCCAAUUCAUGGCCAAAUGGUAAUAGGUGAGAAAGAAAUUCUUGAAUUGUGAGCGUCAGGAGUGUCUGAAGAUAUAUUGGCACAAGCCUCAUGUCUUAACUUCGCUGCGUUAAGGAGAUAUGAUGAUUUGAAAAUGCCUCUCAUUAGAGAAAUCCAGCGGUGAUUGUGAACAAGCUCUCCAUUGACUUUCUAUGGAGAGUUUCCAGACUUUGUGUUGGUCUGAGGAGAUUUGCCAAAAUUCUAUUAUACAGAAAUACUGUAAUCAGCACAUAUACUGUAACAUGACAGAAAUUCCUCCACUUAGUAGUAAUACUAUAACAUAACACAAAUAUUAUGAUUUGGCACAAAAACCAUGAUUUGGCAAAAUACUAUGAUUGAGCAGAAGUACUAAGAUGUAGUAAAAGUACUUUGAUUUAACAGAAAUACAAUUAUAGAGGAGUAAUACUUUAAAAUGGGAGAAAUAUUGAUACACACACACAUACACAGAGCCUAAAGGGAACAGUAUUUGUGCCAUGGAGUGUUAACAAGGAUCUGAGGUCAAUAUUAGAAAAGCUGCUAAAAUCAUAAAAGUUUGCAGAAUUGUAAUAAAUGAUCAAUAUGAAUUAGUGGUCUGUGAUAGUGUAAUAAUUUGUAGGGAAAAAACACAUGUUGCCCAAGGUGUAAUUGAACCCACGACCUUUGGGUUGCAGACCUGUGUCAUUACCAACUGCGCCACUGGGAAAGACAGCGAGCGCCUGGAAAACAGGGUGAUGAGCAGUCAGAAUUAGAUUGUGGUGAGAGGUGAAAAACGCCGUUUUUUGGAGUUACAAAACAUCAUGUAACUCAAAAACUAGGUGGACUAGAAGCAUAAUUCUUGUACUGGGUGAAUCAGCGUACUUUGGUGUACUUUGACUGUGAUUUGCAUUGCUCUUUCUACAUCUGUCGCUGAGAUAUGACGAGAGAAGAAACGGCAGACCUCAGAUAUGAUUGGCUGGCUGGGAAGCCGUGCAGGCCCUGAUAUGUAUUUGUAUGUAUCAGUCCUCACAGAGGAUUAGCUGCCUGGGGACCUGGCAGAAAUAUAUAGAAAUAGUAUGAUUAAGCAUAAAUACUACAUUUUUUAGAGAAACUAUAUUAAGCACAAAUCCUAUAAAAAGCAGAAAUACUAUAUUAAGCAAUAUAAAUAUCCUCUGAAAAUCCUAUAAAAAAGCAGUAAAACUAUACUAUGAUUUGGUAGAAAAACCCUAAUUAAUCAAAAAUACUAUAUUUGGCAGAAAUAGCAGAAACACUAUAUUUAGCACAAAUCUUAUGAAAUAGCAGACAUAGUAUGAUUUAGCAGAAAUGCUGUAUUUAGCACAAAUCUCAUAAAAUAGCAGACAUAGUAUGAUUUUGCAGAAAUGCUGUAUUUAGCACAAAUACUGAAAAGCAGCAGAAAUGCUAUGACUCAACAGAAUAGUAAUAACUUAAAUAGAAAAAUUGGAAAAGCAAAAUGGACAGCUGAAAAAAUCCUGAACAUGCUAAGGGUCCCUCAAAUGUAAUUGUUAAAUGAAAAAAAUCAGCAAAAAAACUAUAACAGUGACACAAUCACAAAUAUGUACACAUAUGGAAACACACAUGCACAGAGAGACACACACAGGAUCAAAUUCAGUCAACCAGUCUAAAUAUAUUGAAUUUAAAUCAUACAAUAAGAUGCUCCCAUAAAAACUCUCUCUCGCCCUCUCUUUCUCUCUCUCUCUGUCACACACACACACACACACACACACAGGGAGAGAAAAUCAAGUUUCUAGGUCAGUCAAACAGCCUGUGAGCUGCUAAAUUUGAAUCCACCAAUCAGAGAGGCUGUGUACUUUUUCCCGCCAAAACAGGUGCACCUGUUUCUACACAGACGCAGCACAGAGAGAGACAGGAUUUGUGCUGUCUACUUUUCAUAGUCAGGAUUCCCCUCAAACAAAUGGCUAUAAUUUCCUAACCGUAGGGGUUAGAACAGUCAUUCUUACACCGUUUUGUUCAGAAGAGAUGGGGGAAUCUUACAGUGUUGACAAUUUAUCAUUAAAACAUGAAUUAUUAAAGAUAUUUGACUUGUAAUGCACCAUAACUGAGUAGAGGCGAAGCAAAAACUGCCUUGACCUGCCCUCAAACAAAGUUUUCUAACUCUAAAUCUAUUUGGAGUAUCGAUAUCAUUCUUUCACCGUAAGAGACAGCAGGCUUUGGUGAACAGUCAUGGAAAUUUUCAGGUCUCUGUGGAAAUCCAUCAAAAAGAUAUGACGAGGGGGCGUGGUUAUGUUGCUGAACUAGGCACACGUAUUUUUGUGAGCUCCUGGCGAUGUUUCAGUAAGUUCCUGAAAACUGUCCUUUAACUGCGUGAACAGUGAUAACUACUGCUUGU
Molecule: long non-coding RNA, 4429 nt
Organism: Oreochromis niloticus (Nile tilapia)
Lineage: Eukaryota; Metazoa; Chordata; Actinopteri; Cichliformes; Cichlidae
Source: Ensembl